This 114-nucleotide ribosomal RNA is filed under the name Cariama cristata (Red-legged seriema). The record is from RNAcentral. Lineage: Eukaryota; Metazoa; Chordata; Aves; Cariamiformes; Cariamidae.
GUCAGCAGCCAGCAUGGGAAUAACAGGAUCUCAUCUGAUCUCAGGAGCUAAGUCGGGUCAGGUCUGGUCAGUACUUGGAAAGGAGACUGGUUGGGAAUACAGGUGCUGUAGACC